CCUACGGGUGGCAGCAGUGAGGAAUAUUGGACAAUGGGCGAGAGCCUGAUCCAGCCAUGCCGCGUGCAGGAAGACGGCCCUAUGGGUUGUAAACUGCUUUUACAGAGGAAGAAACCCUCCCACGUGUGGGAGCUUGACGGUACUCUGCGAAUAAGGAUCGGCUAACUCCGUGCCAGCAGCCGCGGUAAUACGGAGGAUCCAAGCGUUAUCCGGAAUCAUUGGGUUUAAAGGGUCCGUAGGCGGGACAAUAAGUCAGUGGUGAAAGUCUGUGGCUCAACCAUAGAAUUGCCGUUGAAACUGUUGUCCUUGAGUAAUUAUGAAGUGGUUAGAAUAUGUAGUGUAGCGGUGAAAUGCAUAGAUAUUACAUAGAAUACCGAUUGCGAAGGCAGAUCACUAAUAAUUCACUGACGCUGAUGGACGAAAGCGUAGGUAGCGAACAG
This 440-nucleotide ribosomal RNA is filed under the name uncultured bacterium. Its description in RNAcentral is "bacterial SSU rRNA". It matches the Rfam family "Bacterial small subunit ribosomal RNA", at positions 338 to 775 of the family's 1533-position model. The record is from RNAcentral.